This 502-nucleotide ribosomal RNA is filed under the name uncultured bacterium. Its description in RNAcentral is "partial 16S ribosomal RNA". It matches the Rfam family "Bacterial small subunit ribosomal RNA", at positions 29 to 526 of the family's 1533-position model. The record is from RNAcentral.
AAUGAAAGCUAGUGGUGCGCCUUACACAUGCAAGUCAUAUUUGUAAUCAAAUGGCGAACGGGUGAGUAAAACCCAGGAAUCUACCUUUAUACUCGCUAGCCCUCGGAUAAACCUCCUUACUUGGUCUUUGGGCUAAGCAAGGAAGUAAUACGGGAUAAAACAGCGAAAUACCUGCGAUAUAGCGGUUCUGAUUCAUUCUUUACUGCGGCUAGAGAUGAGCCUGGGCCAAACUAGGUAGUUGGUAGUUUAAAAGACAUACCAAGCCUUCGACUUUUAGCGGGUCUGAGAGGACGAUCCGCCACACUGGGACUGAAAGACGGCCCAGACUCCUUAAUGGAGGCAGCAGUGAGGAAUCUUGGACAAUGAACAAACGUUUGAUCCAGCGACACCACGUGGGUGAACGAAGACAGUAUUGUCGUAAAACCCUUUUCUUUGGGAAGAACAUGACGUUACCAAAGAGAGAAAGUCCCGGCAAAUCUCGUGCCAGCCGCCGCCGUAAAAC